Molecule: signal recognition particle RNA, 299 nt
Filed under: Microcebus murinus (gray mouse lemur)
Lineage: Eukaryota; Metazoa; Chordata; Mammalia; Primates; Cheirogaleidae
Description: Metazoan signal recognition particle RNA (ENSMICG00000028768.2)
Rfam family: Metazoan signal recognition particle RNA
About the family: The signal recognition particle (SRP) is a universally conserved ribonucleoprotein. It is involved in the co-translational targeting of proteins to membranes.
Source: Rfam by way of RNAcentral
GCUAGGCUCAGUGGCAUGCACCUGUAGUCCCAGCUACUUGGGAAGCUGGGUGGGAGGAUUAUUGAUUCUGGGAUUUCUGGGUUGUAGUGUGCUAGUGUGAUCGGGUAUGUGUGCUAAGUUUGGCAUCAACAUGGUGACCUUCUGGGAACGGGGGACCUCUAGGUUGCGUGAAGAGGGGUGAACCGGCCUGGGUGGGAAAUGGAGCAGGUCAAAAAACCUAGUGCCUAUCAGUUGUAGGAUUGUGCCUGUGAAUAGCUACUGCACUUCAGCCUGGGCAACAUAGUAAGACCCCAUCUCAU